GAUGAACGCUGGCGGCGUGCCUAAUACAUGCAAGUCGAGCGAACAGAUGAGGAGCUUGCUCCUCUGACGUUAGCGGCGGACGGGUGAGUAACACGUGGAUAACCUACCUAUAAGACUGGGAUAACUUCGGGAAACCGGAGCUAAUACCGGAUAAUAUAUUGAACCGCAUGGUUCAAUAGUGAAAGACGGUUUUGCUGUCACUUAUAGAUGGAUCCGCGCCGCAUUAGCUAGUUGGUAAGGUAACGGCUUACCAAGGCGACGAUGCGUAGCCGACCUGAGAGGGUGAUCGGCCACACUGGAACUGAGACACGGUCCAGACUCCUACGGGAGGCAGCAGGAGGGAAUCUUCCGCAAUGGGCGAAAGCCUGACGGAGCAACGCCGCGUGAGUGAUGAAGGUCUUCGGAUCGUAAAACUCUGUUAUUAGGGAAGAACAAAUGUGUAAGUAACUAUGCACGUCUUGACGGUACCUAAUCAGAAAGCCACGGCUAACUACGU
Molecule: ribosomal RNA, 496 nt
Filed under: uncultured bacterium
Lineage: Bacteria
Description: partial 16S ribosomal RNA
Rfam family: Bacterial small subunit ribosomal RNA
Source: RNAcentral